Molecule: ribosomal RNA, 358 nt
Filed under: Oligonicella sp. MN049
Lineage: Eukaryota; Metazoa; Arthropoda; Insecta; Mantodea; Thespidae
Description: partial 16S ribosomal RNA
Source: RNAcentral
GGCCGCGGUAUUUUGACUGUGCGAAGGUAGCGUAAUCAUUAGUCUUUUAAUUGAAGGCUGGUAUGAAUGGUUAGACGAGGUGAAAGCUGUUUUAUAGUAAAUGAAAUAUUGAAGUUGGAAUUUAAGUAAAAAAACUUAAGUAAUAUUAAGGGACGAGAAGACCCUAUAGAGUUUUAUAAAUAUAAGUUAUAGUAAGGUUAAUUAAAAAUGGUAUUUAUUAUAAUUUAUAUUUAUUUGAUUGGGGCGAUUAGAAGAUAAAUAAAACUCUUUUUUGUAUUUUAUACUUGUUAGUAAAUUUAAGAUCCAUUAAAAUUAAUAAUGAUUGGAAGAUAAAAUUACCUUAGGGAUAACAGCAUAA